Small nucleolar RNA from Macrosteles quadrilineatus (aster leafhopper), 127 nucleotides. NCBI's taxonomy places the organism in Eukaryota, Metazoa, Arthropoda, Insecta, Hemiptera, Cicadellidae. The record is from RefSeq and is a predicted model, not a curated record.
UAGUGGCCAGAUCGAAGCUGAGAUAAAGUGUUGUUUAGCUCAGUCAAAACUCGGCCUAAAGCAAAGAUUAACCUUAGGUCACUUGAAGACUUGUGUCUUACAAGUAUUACCCUAGGUUAAUACAUUU